CGAACGCUGGCGGCGUGCUUAACACAUGCAAGUCGAACGGUAAGGCCCUUCGGGGUACACGAGUGGCGAACGGGUGAGUAACACGUGGGUAAUCUGCCCUGCACUUCGGGAUAAGCCUGGGAAACUGGGUCUAAUACCGGAUAUUCAGCUUCUGCCGCAUGGUGGUGGUUGGAAAGUUUUUCGGUGCAGGAUGAGCCCGCGGCCUAUCAGCUUGUUGGUGGGGUAAUGGCCUACCAAGGCGACGACGGGUAGCCGGCCUGAGAGGGUGAUCGGCCACACUGGGACUGAGACACGGCCCAGACUCCUACGGGAGGCAGCAGUGGGGAAUAUUGCACAAUGGGCGAAAGCCUGAUGCAGCGACGCCGCGUGGGGGAUGACGGUCUUCGGAUUGUAAACCCCUUUCAGUAGGGACGAAGCGCAAGUGACGGUACCUGCAGAAGAAGCACCGGCCAACUAC
This 457-nucleotide ribosomal RNA is filed under the name uncultured bacterium. RNAcentral describes it as "bacterial SSU rRNA". It matches the Rfam family "Bacterial small subunit ribosomal RNA", at positions 30 to 504 of the family's 1533-position model. The record is from RNAcentral.